Molecule: ribosomal RNA, 444 nt
Filed under: uncultured bacterium
Lineage: Bacteria
Description: partial 16S ribosomal RNA
Rfam family: Bacterial small subunit ribosomal RNA
Source: RNAcentral
CCUACGGGGAGCAGCAGUGUGGGGAUAUUGGACAAUGGGGGAAACCCUGUUCCAGCGACGCCGCGUGAGUGAAGAAGUAUUUCGGUAUGUAAAGCUCUGUCAGCAGGGAAGAAAGAAAUGAUGGUACCUGACCAAGAAGCCCCGGCUAACUACGUGCCAGCAGCCGCGGUAAUACGUAGGGGGCAAGCGUUAUCCGGAAUUACUGGGUGUAAAGGGAGCGUAGACGGUGCUGCAAGUCUGGCGUGAAAGGCGGGGGCCCAACCCCCGGACUGCUCUGGAAACUGUGUAACUUGAGUGCAGGAGAGGUAAGCGGAAUUCCUGGGGUAGCGGUGAAAUGCGUAGAUAUUAGGAGGAACACCAGUGGCGAAGGCGGCUUACUGGACUGUAACUGACGUUGAGGCUCGAAAGCGUGGGGAGCAAACAGGAUUAGAUACCCUAGUAGUC